GGAAAUAGAUUUGUUUAUAGAUUUGAGCUACUAACUCUAAAUUUUAUUGGUUAGAUUCCAAUAAUAUUUCUU
Molecule: transfer RNA, 72 nt
Filed under: Hutchinsoniella macracantha
Lineage: Eukaryota; Metazoa; Arthropoda; Cephalocarida; Brachypoda; Hutchinsoniellidae
Description: tRNA-Ser
Source: RNAcentral